RNAcentral lists this ribosomal RNA (443 nucleotides) under uncultured bacterium. RNAcentral describes it as "partial 16S ribosomal RNA". It matches the Rfam family "Bacterial small subunit ribosomal RNA", at positions 338 to 795 of the family's 1533-position model. The record is from RNAcentral.
ACUACGGGAGGCAGCAGUGGGGAAUAUUGGGCAAUGGGCGCAAGCCUGACCCAGCAACGCCGCGUGAAGGAAGAAGGCUUUCGGGUUGUAAACUUCUUUUGUCAGGGACGAAGCAAGUGACGGUACCUGACGAAUAAGCCACGGCUAACUACGUGCCAGCAGCCGCGGUAAUACGUAGGUGGCAAGCGUUAUCCGGAUUUACUGGGUGUAAAGGGCGUGUAGGCGGGGAAGCAAGUCAGAUGUGAAAACCACGGGCUCAACCUGUGGCCUGCAUUUGAAACUGUUUUUCUUGAGUGCUGCAGAGGCAAUCGGAAUUCCGUGUGUAGCGGUGAAAUGCGUAGAUAUACGGAGGAACACCAGUGGCGAAGGCGGAUUGCUGGACAGUAACUGACGCUGAGGCGCGAAAGCGUGGGGAGCAAACAGGAUUAGAUACCCUUGUAGUC